RNAcentral lists this transfer RNA (71 nucleotides) under Neoroseomonas lacus. RNAcentral describes it as "tRNA-Ser". The record is from RNAcentral. Lineage: Bacteria; Pseudomonadati; Pseudomonadota; Alphaproteobacteria; Acetobacterales; Acetobacteraceae.
CGCGGCCUUGGCGCGGUAUUGCGGGUCGUCCUCGAACAGCGUCGGGUAAUGGUGCGAGACCAUGCCCGCGC